GCGGCGACGGCGUGGCGGCCGUAAGUCCGCAGCGCCUGUUCAGCGUAAGCGGACGACUGCUGGAGCACCUGCGCGCCCGGCUCCGCGUAAAAGCCGUGCACCGAAGGAACCGUGGCUGGAUAGAGGCCCUGCACAACGGGGGGCGAGGCAGACGGGGACGGCGGCCUCCAGAAGCCUUCAUAGUCCGGCGAGGACGCGCACGGACUGCCUGCGCAGCUUGACGGGGACUUGGGAGAGGAGUCAGCCGCCUUCGGACCGAGGCAACCCAGAGAGAGAGACGACGCGUCCGCGGUCACCACCGCUUCCUCUGCGGGAAAGCUCCACGCGGAACCGGACGGGUCCGCACGAGGAUACCCACCACCAUCACGCCAAGGACCUACUCCGCCACCAAUGCAAAUAGUCAUUUGGGCAGUUUUCAAUAAUUCUCCAAACGAAUCUAAAAGUAAUAAUUUGCUCACGACUAUAACUAAAGAAAAGAAAUGUUUUUUUCCCUCUGUCAUUAAGGUCAGAUUUUCUUUUAUCCCGAUAAUAUGCUGUAAUUGUGCGGAGACGCAGGGCUAUUUAGUACUAAUGUUUAUUUUAACAUAACAAUACAACAGUAUUUUAUUUUAUUGUUUUAAUAAAAACCUCGUAAAGGUGUUUAAUUAUAAAACAAUUAAAUGGAGGUUUGAAAACGUCAUCUUUUCGCUUCAGUGUCAAGAGACUACAUUUUUGUAACAUCACAACAGAAAAAUACAAUUUGUCAUAUUUUAACGUAUAAGAGUAAGAACGUUAGAAUCGA
Molecule: long non-coding RNA, 781 nt
Organism: Syngnathus typhle (broad-nosed pipefish)
Lineage: Eukaryota; Metazoa; Chordata; Actinopteri; Syngnathiformes; Syngnathidae
Exons: 2
Source: RefSeq, a predicted model, not a curated record